GUCCACGCCUAACGAUGUCAACUAGGUGUUGGGAAGGAGACUUCUUAGUACCGCAGCUAACGCGAUAAGUUGACCGCCUGGGAGUACGGUCGCAAGAUUAAACUCAAGGAUUGACGGGACCCGCACAAGCGGUGGAUUAUGUGGAUUAAUUCGAUGCAACGCGAAACCUUUACCUACCCUUGACAUGUCAGGAAGAUUUCCAGAGAUGGGAUUGUGCCCCGCAAGGGGAACCUGAACACAGGUGCUGCAUGGCUGUCGU
RNAcentral lists this ribosomal RNA (259 nucleotides) under uncultured bacterium. Its description in RNAcentral is "partial 16S ribosomal RNA". It matches the Rfam family "Bacterial small subunit ribosomal RNA", at positions 793 to 1055 of the family's 1533-position model. The record is from RNAcentral.